This 259-nucleotide ribosomal RNA is filed under the name uncultured bacterium. RNAcentral describes it as "partial 16S ribosomal RNA". It matches the Rfam family "Bacterial small subunit ribosomal RNA", at positions 28 to 273 of the family's 1533-position model. The record is from RNAcentral.
GACGAACGCUGGCGGCGUGCUUAACACAUGCAAGUGGAGCGACGAACCAGGCUUCGGCCUGGGGCAGAGCCGCGAACGGGUGAGUAACACGUGGGUAACCUGCCCCGAUGACCGGGACAACCCGAGGAAACUCGGGCUAAUACCGGAUAGGUCCGCCCCGCAUAGGCGGGACGGGCGAAAGGUAAGGCUUCGGCCUCCGCAUCGGGAGUGGGCCCGGCCGGCCCACUUAGCUUGUUGGUGAGGUAACGGCUCACCAAGG